GGCUGAGCUAACUCUACCUCAUCAGUGAUGACUCCAUCCAAACUAUGCAGCCAUUGCCCAGACACGCUCAGCCUUCAGAAAGUGAAUUGCUGGAAUCCAACUAGCUCUGUUGUUUUCAAAGAGGCUCACAAGGUCCCAAAGCACCAAUCAUCUUAACUGGCACCAGGAAGAGGAAAACCAUGCCCUUAUUUCCUUGAGUCAUAUCAUUAUCUCCUAAGAGUCUAACUCUGAAAAACAGCACUCUAGGGAAGAAAAACAAGAGAGACUGGAGCAACUGGAUCUGUAACAUGAGAUUCAAGGUCAUGUCAAGCCACUCAGUGGGCCAGAUAGAAUUUGUAUUCACUGCAAUGCAUAAAUCUUCAGUAGAUUAUCCAGGAGUUCCUCAAAAUGCAUCCACUUGUACAAUCCAAACUCCCCUCAAGAUACAGAAUAUAACCGUCACUCUGGAAAACUUCUUCAUGUCCCUUCCUGACAAAUUCCUGGAGACAACCAAACUUCUAAUGUUUUUCACUAUAAAUUAGUUUUACCUG
This is a long non-coding RNA of Heterocephalus glaber (naked mole-rat), 530 nucleotides long. RefSeq lists it as uncharacterized. The record is from RefSeq and is a predicted model, not a curated record. NCBI's taxonomy places the organism in Eukaryota, Metazoa, Chordata, Mammalia, Rodentia, Bathyergidae.